This 76-nucleotide transfer RNA is filed under the name Rickettsiales bacterium. Its description in RNAcentral is "tRNA-Thr". It matches the Rfam family "tRNA". From Rfam's summary of the family: Transfer RNA (tRNA) molecules are approximately 80 nucleotides in length. Their secondary structure includes four short double-helical elements and three loops (D, anti-codon, and T loops). The record is from RNAcentral. Lineage: Bacteria; Pseudomonadati; Pseudomonadota; Alphaproteobacteria; Rickettsiales.
GCCGGUUUAGCUCAGCUGGUAGAGCAGUUGAUUUGUAAUCAUCAGGUCGGGGAUUCGAGUUCCUCAACCGGCACCA